GUGGGGAAUAUUGGACAAUGGGGGGAACCCUGAUCCAGCCAUGCCGCGUGUGUGAAGAAGGCCUUUUGGUUGUAAAGCACUUUAAGCGAGGAGGAGGCUACCGAGAUUAAUACUCUUGGAUAGUGGACGUUACUCGCAGAAUAAGCACCGGCUAACUCUGUGCCAGCAGCCGCGGUAAUACAGAGGGUGCAAGCGUUAAUCUGAUUUACUGGGCGUAAAGCGCGCGUAGGUGGCCAAUUAAGUCAAAUGUGAAAUCCCCGAGCUUAACUUGGGAAUUGCAUUCGAUACUGGUUGGCUAGAGUAUGGGAGAGGAUGGUAGAAUUCCAGGUGUAGCGGUGAAAUGCGUAGAGAUCUGGAGGAAUACCGAUGGCGAAGGCAGCCAUCUGGCCUAAUACUGACACUGAGGUGCGAAAGCAUGGGGAGCAAACAGGAUUAGAAACCCCAGUAGUCC
Molecule: ribosomal RNA, 451 nt
Filed under: uncultured bacterium
Lineage: Bacteria
Description: partial 16S ribosomal RNA
Rfam family: Bacterial small subunit ribosomal RNA
Source: RNAcentral